This 1134-nucleotide long non-coding RNA is filed under the name Mus musculus (house mouse). RNAcentral's name for it is "long non-coding RNA chr3:53255055-53256189". The record is from RNAcentral. Lineage: Eukaryota; Metazoa; Chordata; Mammalia; Rodentia; Muridae.
CAUGAGGAAGAAUCAAGAAUUGAAGUCUACUAAGGAAACCAGUGACUUAAUCUCCUCACGUUGGCCUAAGUCUUGACACCUCAGGCUGAUCUAAACUGUUUCUAGCUUCUCCAAAGGGAGGUAUAUGUUUGCAUGUGUGUGGGUAUUGCAUAUGGGUGCAUGAGUGUAUGUAUGUAUGUUAUAUGCACGCCCAUGCAUACUGAUGUGUAUUUUUAUAUACUUUUGAGGCCAUUUUGAUAAGCUGGCAAUAUAUCUUACAUGAGGGGCAUUUUAAAACAAUAUAACUGAUGUGAACACUCAAAGGAAACCACAUAGUGUCAUACACCACAAUAUUUCCAGUUCCUGUAACAGUGUCAAAAAGAUAAUUGUUAAAUCAGAGUUAUUUGAAAACCUAAUAUGUUUACCUCAUGGUACAAGUGAAAAUCAGGGAGGACCUCAGAGGCAAGCUCUCAAACGGUGACAGGCAUGCCUCUCGGCCAUCCCCAGCCACGCAAUCAAAAUGGUAUCCAUACCUCUUGUGGAGCAAUGUGCUUGCAAGAUCCAAUUCUAUCUCCAUUUCUCUGUGAUAACCUCCCUCAUCCAAACACUUUUCUCUGGCCUCCCACCUCUCUACUUGAUAUGCCCUUCCUCAUCUGCCACAGCUCUGUUUCAAUGUCAUUUCCAAAUGAAGCCAUUCCUUCAGCUCAAUGACCACAGGUCUCUCCCGAUUUGCUGCCUCGGCAUCCUGGUAUGGAUUUUCAAAGCACACAUCACACUUAUAAUUAUGUGAGUGCUAUUUAAUGCGUAUCUUCAUGAUUAUAUAACCACUUCUUUGAAGGGAGAGAUUGUAUUCAUCUUACUCAACCAAGUCCACAGCACUCAACUUGAAACAGCCAUCAUUCCACAAGUGUUUGCUAGAUCAAUGCCUGGGUUAGCAAAAGUAAGAAGGGAGGAAACAUGAAGAAAGGGCGAGAGAGCAGGAGGGAAACAGAGCACUGGGGAGGAUGGGUCAGGAAUCCCUCUGGGAAUGGAGAUCAAUGGCUAAGGUUGCUUGCAGUUCACAACUGCCUGUAACUCUAGCUCCUGAGCAUCCAACAUCCUCUUCUAGCCUCCUCAACAUUGCGCACACACACACACACACACACACACAUCUUU